This is a non-coding RNA of Mustela putorius furo (domestic ferret), 74 nucleotides long. Lineage: Eukaryota; Metazoa; Chordata; Mammalia; Carnivora; Mustelidae. The record is from Rfam.
CGGCCGUGAUGCGAGCGUUUCUGCAGCUGGAGUCGCCGUGAAGAGCGAAAUCGAGCUUUUUAACCCUGAGCCGC